AUUUUGCGUUAGGGAUAGUAGUGGAAAUCCUUUUGUGCCAGGGUUUGGCACAAAAGAUUGCAACGGAUAGCCCGACCCUUG
This 81-nucleotide small RNA is filed under the name Flavobacterium branchiophilum. RNAcentral's name for it is "Flavo-1 RNA". It matches the Rfam family "Flavo-1 RNA". Lineage: Bacteria; Pseudomonadati; Bacteroidota; Flavobacteriia; Flavobacteriales; Flavobacteriaceae. The record is from Rfam by way of RNAcentral.